Molecule: ribosomal RNA, 422 nt
Filed under: uncultured bacterium
Lineage: Bacteria
Description: bacterial SSU rRNA
Rfam family: Bacterial small subunit ribosomal RNA
Source: RNAcentral
UGAGGAAUAUUGGUCAAUGGGCGCAAGCCUGAACCAGCCAAGUCGCGUGAGGGAAGACGGUCCUAAGGAUUGUAAACCUCUUUUGUCAGGGAGCAAAACGUCCACGAGUGGAUAAUCGAGAGUACCUGAAGAAAAAGCAUCGGCUAACUCCGUGCCAGCAGCCGCGGUAAUACGGAGGAUGCGAGCGUUAUCCGGAUUUAUUGGGUUUAAAGGGUGCGUAGGCGGAAGAUUAAGUCAGCGGUAAAAUCGAGUGGCUCAACCACUUCCGGCCGUUGAAACUGGUUUUCUUGAGUGAGCGAGAAGUAUGCGGAAUGCGUGGUGUAGCGGUGAAAUGCAUAGAUAUCACGCAGAACUCCGAUUGCGAAGGCAGCAUACCGGCGCUCAACUGACGCUGAAGCACGAAAGCGUGGGGAUCGAACAGG